CAGUAGCCACGGUAAUACGGAGGGUGCGAGCGUUAAUCGGAAUUACUGGGCGUAAAGCGUACGCAGGCGGUCUGUUAAGUCAGAUGUGAAAUCCCCGGGCUUAACCCGGGAACUGCAUUUGAAACUGGCAGGCUAGAGUCUCGUAGAGGGGGGUAGAAUUCCAGGUGUAGCGGUGAAAUGCGUAGAGAUCUGGAGGAAUACCGGUGGCGAAGGCGGCCCCCUGGACGAAGACUGACGCUCAGGUACGAAAGCGUGGGGAGCAAACAGGAUUAGAUACCCGAGUAGUCCCUGUCUCUUAUAC
This 301-nucleotide ribosomal RNA is filed under the name uncultured bacterium. RNAcentral's name for it is "partial 16S ribosomal RNA". It matches the Rfam family "Bacterial small subunit ribosomal RNA", at positions 509 to 807 of the family's 1533-position model. The record is from RNAcentral.